RNAcentral lists this ribosomal RNA (393 nucleotides) under uncultured bacterium. Its description in RNAcentral is "partial 16S ribosomal RNA". It matches the Rfam family "Bacterial small subunit ribosomal RNA", at positions 523 to 918 of the family's 1533-position model. The record is from RNAcentral.
AUAAGGAGGAUCCGAGCGUUAUCUGGAUUUAUUGGGUCUAAAGGGUGCGUAGGCGGUUUGUUAAGUCCGUUGUGAAAGUUUGCGGCUCAACCGAAAAACUGCAGUUGAUACUGGUGGUCUUGAGUGCAGCAGAGGUAGGCGGAAUUCGUGGUGUAGCGGUGAAAUGCUUAGAUAUCACGAAGAACUCCGAUUGCGAAGGCAGCUUACUGGACUGUAACUGACGCUGAUGCUCGAAAGUGUGGGUAUCAAACAGGAUUGGAUACCCUGGUAGUCCACACAGUAAACGAUGAAUACUCGCUGUUUGCGAUAUACAGCAAGCGGCCAAGCGAAAGCAUUAAGUAUUCCACCUGGGGAGUACGCCGGCAACGGUGAAACUCAAAGGAAUUGACGGGG